RNAcentral lists this ribosomal RNA (267 nucleotides) under uncultured bacterium. Its description in RNAcentral is "partial 16S ribosomal RNA". It matches the Rfam family "Bacterial small subunit ribosomal RNA", at positions 793 to 1055 of the family's 1533-position model. The record is from RNAcentral.
GUCCACGCCCUAAACGAUGUCUACUAGUUGUCGGGUUUUAAUUAACUUGGUAACGCAGCUAACGCGUGAAGUAGACCGCCUGGGGGAGUACGGUCGCAAGAUUAAAAACUCAAAGGAAUUGACGGGGACCCGCACAAGCGGUGGAUGAUGUGGAUUAAUUCGAUGCAACGCGAAAAACCUUACCUACCCUUGACAUGGCAGAAACCUCCGAGAGAUUGGAGGGUGCUCGAAAAGAGAAUCUGCACACAGGUGCUGCAUGGCUGUCGU